UCGAAACUUGCAAAAGACCCGUGAACUAGUUAUCAACAUGUGGGGAGUGUUGGGAGAUAUCCCUUAGCUCCUUCGUGCCAGUGGUGGGUAAUUGUGUUGUUAUACCGGCAUGAUUGACCAACAUCUGGACAAACUAACCAACCCCGGCGCGGCAUGCGCCAAGGAACUUCGCAAUAAAUGUGGAAACGCUACCGGUCGUUCCGAAAAUCGGAUAAAGCGGCCGUGUUGUGGACCACCAUUUCAUUACAAAACGACUCUCGGCAACGGAUAUCUAGGCUCUUGCAUCGAUGAAGAACGUAGCGAAAUGCGAUACUUGGUGUGAAUUGCAGAAUCCCGUGAACCAUCGAGUCUUUGAACGCAAGUUGCGCCCGAAGCCUCUUGGCCAAGGGCACGUCUGCCUGGGUGUCACACAUCGUCCCCACCGAAACAAAUACUCCUUGUAGGUGUUUGGUAAGAGGAUGGGCGGAUAAUGGUCUCCCGUGCGCGGUUGCUCGCGGUUGGCCUAAAAAUAAGUUCCUGGUGAUAGCAAGCCAUGACCAGCGGUGGUUGAAAGACCCUCGAUGGGUGUCGUGAGAACUUGCAUCGCAUGUUGGGAGAUUCUGACCUUGAUCGUGUUUAAGCAUAUCAAACACUCAUGAA
This 639-nucleotide unclassified non-coding RNA is filed under the name Hypericum canadense. RNAcentral describes it as "sequence contains ITS1, 5.8S rRNA gene, ITS2". The stretch from base 253 to 408 matches the Rfam family "5.8S ribosomal RNA". Lineage: Eukaryota; Viridiplantae; Streptophyta; Magnoliopsida; Malpighiales; Hypericaceae. The record is from RNAcentral.